UACGGAGGGUGCAAGCGUUGUCCGGAAUCAUUGGGCGUAAAGGGCGCGUAGGUGGCCCGGUCAGUUCGUGGUGAAAGCGCGGGGCUCAACCCUGCGUCGGCCAUGAAUACUGCCGCGGCUGGAGCACUGUAGAGGCAGAUGGAAUUCCGGGUGUAGCGGUGGAAUGCGUAGAGAUCCGGAAGAACACCGGUGGCGAAGGCGGCCUGCUGGGCUAUGGCUGACACUGAGGCGCGACAGCGUGGGGAGCAAACAGG
Molecule: ribosomal RNA, 254 nt
Filed under: uncultured bacterium
Lineage: Bacteria
Description: partial 16S ribosomal RNA
Rfam family: Bacterial small subunit ribosomal RNA
Source: RNAcentral